GCCUGUGCCCGGGGGCGGGGGCGGGGGCGGGGGCGGGGGGGGCUCCCGGCGAUGCGAGUGGAAGCGGAUGGGAGGCGAGGGCCGGGCCCCCAUCUCCCGAGAGCCCCGCGGCUUCCUAAAGCCCUUCCCGGGGAGGGAUGGGAGGCUCUGCCGCAAAGGAGCGGCUGCCACGCGCGCGCCUCGCGUCCCUCCCCGGGUCCCUCUUCCCACGCACGACACACCGGGCGCUAGAAGGGACCAGACCGCAAAGCCCCCUGCGCGGCAGCCCCUGGGGUCCCCCGGGCAAGCAGGGGACGGGGCGCUGCGAUCCCGGCCGCCAGGCCGCCUGCAGGUGCCCCAGCCGCCCCCUCCCCGGCCGGGUCGCCUGGGCCUCGGUGCAGGUCGAGGUGUCAGGACAUCUGCACUCGGGCCGCCCACCCCUAGGGCUCCGCACGGCGGGGGCUCCGCACACUACACCCCGGUCCUCGGCCUCGCAGGGAGCCCGGCCGCCCCCCGGACACCAGCCCUGGAGAGAGGAAGAGAAGACAAGGGGACAGAAGAAGUGCUUCCCGCAGAGGGGACACUGCUGUCUGCUGGAUUUAAAAGUGCGGCCUCUUUGAAACAAAUACCGUGA
This 613-nucleotide long non-coding RNA is filed under the name Canis lupus familiaris (dog). RNAcentral's name for it is "lncRNA (ENSCAFG00030010681.1)". Lineage: Eukaryota; Metazoa; Chordata; Mammalia; Carnivora; Canidae. The record is from RNAcentral.